GAUGAAGAACGUAGCGAAAUGCGAUAAGUAAUGUGAAUUGCAGAAUUCAGUGAAUCAUCGAAUCUUUGAACGCACAUUGCGCCCGCCAGUAUUCUGGCGGGCAUGCCUGUGCGAGCGUCAUUUCAACCAUCAAGCCCCCGGGCUUGUGUUGGGGACCUGCGGCUGCCCGCAGGCCCUGAAAACCAGUGGCGGGCUCGCUGUCACACCGAGCGUAGUAGCAAUCACCUCGCUCAGGGCGUGCUGCGGGUUCCGGCCGUUAAACAGCCUUACAAAACCCAAGGUUGACCUCGGAUCAGGUAGGAAGACCCGCUGAACUUAAGCAUAUCAAUAAGCGGAGGA
This 339-nucleotide unclassified non-coding RNA is filed under the name soil metagenome. RNAcentral's name for it is "partial contains 5.8S ribosomal RNA, internal transcribed spacer 2, and large subunit ribosomal RNA". The stretch from base 1 to 120 matches the Rfam family "5.8S ribosomal RNA", at positions 35 to 154 of the family's 154-position model. The record is from RNAcentral.